GAAUUCGCCCUUAGAGUUUGAUCCUGGCUCAGGACUAACGCUGGCGGCGUGCCUAAUACAUGCAAGUCGAACGGUCGUGCGUUUGUAGCAAUAUGGACGUACGAUAGUGGCGAACGGGUGAGUAACUCGUGGAAAACCUACCCUCGAGCGGGGGAUAACUCCGGGAAACUGGGGCUAAUACCGCAUGACAUCCCAACCUGGCAUCGGGAGGGGAUCAAAGCCGAAAGGCACUUGAGGAUGGUUCCGCGGCCUAUCAGCUAGUUGGCGGGGUAACGGCCCACCAAGGCGACGACGGGUAGCCGGCCUGAGAGGGCGAUCGGCCACAAGGGGACUGAGACACGGCCCCUACUCCUACGGGAGGCAGCAGUAGGGAAUUUUGCUCAAUGGGGGAAACCCUGAAGCAGCGACGCCGCGUGGGCGACGAAAUCCUUCGGGAUGUAAAGCCCUUUUAACCGGGACGAAAUACAUGACGGUACCGGUGGAAUAAGCCUCGGCUAACUCCGUGCCAGCAGCCGCGGUAAGACGGGGGAGGCAAGCGUUGUCCGGAAUCACUGGGUGUAAAGGGCGUGUAGGCGGGCCGGCUAGUCGGUUGUUAAAUCUCUCCGCUCAACGGAGAAGCUGCGGCCGAUACUUCCGGUCUUGAGUGCGGCAGGGGAGGAUGGAAUUCCUGGUGUAGCGGUGAAAUGCGUAGAUAUCAGGAGGAACACCGGUGGCGAAGGCGGUCCUCUGGGCCUGCACUGACGCUGAGUGCGCGAAAGCUGGGGUAGCAAACAGAAUUAGAUACUCUGGUAGUCCCAGCCCUAAACGAUGG
RNAcentral lists this ribosomal RNA (811 nucleotides) under uncultured bacterium. Its description in RNAcentral is "bacterial SSU rRNA". It matches the Rfam family "Bacterial small subunit ribosomal RNA", at positions 1 to 812 of the family's 1533-position model. The record is from RNAcentral.